Molecule: unclassified non-coding RNA, 245 nt
Filed under: uncultured Podospora
Lineage: Eukaryota; Fungi; Ascomycota; Sordariomycetes; Sordariales; Lasiosphaeriaceae
Description: sequence contains ITS2
Rfam family: 5.8S ribosomal RNA (bases 1-52)
Source: RNAcentral
AACGCACAUUGCGCCCGCCAGUAUUCUGGCGGGCAUGCCUGUCCGAGCGUCAUUUCAACCCAUCAAGCCUAGCGCUUGUGUUGGAGCCCUGCGGCCGCCGCAGCCUCUCAAAAUUAGUGGCGGGCUCGCUAUCACGCUGAGUGCAGUAGUAUUCUCCUCACUCCUGUUGUGUAGCGGGUAACCAGCCGUAAAACUCUCUUAUUCAGGUUGACCUCGGAUCAGGUAGGAAUACCCGCUGAACUUAA